GGUUAAGCGACUAAGCGUACACGGUGGAUGCCCUGGCAGUCAGAGGCGAUGAAGGACGUGCUAAUCUGCGAUAAGCGUCGGUGAGGUGAUAUGAACCGUUAUAACCGGCGAUUUCCGAAUGGGGAAACCCAGUGUGUUUCGACACACUAUCAUUAACUGAAUCCAUAGGUUAAUGAGGCGAACCGGGGGAACUGAAACAUCUAAGUACCCCGAGGAAAAGAAAUCAACCGAGAUUCCCCCAGUAGCGGCGAGCGAACGGGGAGGAGCCCAGAGCCUGAAUCAGUGUGUGUGUUAGUGGAAGCGUCUGGAAAGGCGCGCGAUACAGGGUGACAGCCCCGUACACAAAAAUGCACAUAUUGUGAGCUCGAUGAGUAGGGCGGGACACGUGGUAUCCUGUCUGAAUAUGGGGGGGACCAUCCUCCAAGGCUAAAUACUCCUGACUGACCGAUAGUGAACCAGUACCGUGAGGGAAAGGCGAAAAGAACCCCGGCGAGGGGAGUGAAAAAGAACCUGAAACCGUGUACGUACAAGCAGUGGGAGCCUCUUAAUGGGGUGACUGCGUACCUUUUGUAUAAUGGGUCAGCGACUUAUAUUCUGUAGCAAGGUUAACCGAAUAGGGGAGCCGAAGGGAAACCGAGUCUUAACUGGGCGUUAAGUUGCAGGGUAUAGACCCGAAACCCGGUGAUCUAGCCAUGGGCAGGUUGAAGGUUGGGUAACACUAACUGGAGGACCGAACCGACUAAUGUUGAAAAAUUAGCGGAUGACUUGUGGCUGGGGGUGAAAGGCCAAUCAAACCGGGAGAUAGCUGGUUCUCCCCGAAAGCUAUUUAGGUAGCGCCUCGUGAAUUCAUCUCCGGGGGUAGAGCACUGUUUAGGCAAGGGGGUCAUCCCGACUUACCAACCCGAUGCAAACUGCGAAUACCGGAGAAUGUUAUCACGGGAGACACACGGCGGGUGCUAACGUCCGUCGUGAAGAGGGAAACAACCCAGACCGCCAGCUAAGGUCCCAAAGUCAUGGUUAAGUGGGAAACGAUGUGGGAAGGCCCAGACAGCCAGGAUGUUGGCUUAGAAGCAGCCAUCAUUUAAAGAAAGCGUAAUAGCUCACUGGUCGAGUCGGCCUGCGCGGAAGAUGUAACGGGGCUAAACCAUGCACCGAAGCUGCGGCAGCGACACUAUGUGUUGUUGGGUAGGGGAGCGUUCUGUAAGCCUGUGAAGGUGUACUGUGAGGUAUGCUGGAGGUAUCAGAAGUGCGAAUGCUGACAUAAGUAACGAUAAAGCGGGUGAAAAGCCCGCUCGCCGGAAGACCAAGGGUUCCUGUCCAACGUUAAUCGGGGCAGGGUGAGUCGACCCCUAAGGCGAGGCCGAAAGGCGUAGUCGAUGGGAAACAGGUUAAUAUUCCUGUACUUGGUGUUACUGCGAAGGGGGGACGGAGAAGGCUAUGUUGGCCGGGCGACGGUUGUCCCGGUUUAAGCGUGUAGGCUGGUUUUCCAGGCAAAUCCGGAAAAUCAAGGCUGAGGCGUGAUGACGAGGCACUACGGUGCUGAAGCGACAAAUGCCCUGCUUCCAGGAAAAGCCUCUAAGCAUCAGGUAACAUCAAAUCGUACCCCAAACCGACACAGGUGGUCAGGUAGAGAAUACCAAGGCGCUUGAGAGAACUCGGGUGAAGGAACUAGGCAAAAUGGUGCCGUAACUUCGGGAGAAGGCACGCUGAUAUGUAGGUGAAGCGACUUGCUCGUGGAGCUGAAAUCAGUCGAAGAUACCAGCUGGCUGCAACUGUUUAUUAAAAACACAGCACUGUGCAAACACGAAAGUGGACGUAUACGGUGUGACGCCUGCCCGGUGCCGGAAGGUUAAUUGAUGGGGUUAGCGGUAACGCGAAGCUCUUGAUCGAAGCCCCGGUAAACGGCGGCCGUAACUAUAACGGUCCUAAGGUAGCGAAAUUCCUUGUCGGGUAAGUUCCGACCUGCACGAAUGGCGUAAUGAUGGCCAGGCUGUCUCCACCCGAGACUCAGUGAAAUUGAACUCGCUGUGAAGAUGCAGUGUACCCGCGGCAAGACGGAAAGACCCCGUGAACCUUUACUAUAGCUUGACACUGAACAUUAAGCCUUGAUGUGUAGGAUAGGUGGGAGGCUUUGAAGUGUGGACGCCAGUCUGCAUGGAGCCGACCUUGAAAUACCACCCUUUAAUGUUUGAUGUUCUAACGUGGGCCCCUUACCGGGGUUGCGGACAGUGUCUGGUGGGUAGUUUGACUGGGGCGGUCUCCUCCUAAAGAGUAACGGAGGAGCACGAAGGUUGGCUAAUCCUGGUCGGACAUCAGGAGGUUAGUGCAAUGGCAUAAGCCAGCUUGACUGCGAGCGUGACGGCGCGAGCAGGUGCGAAAGCAGGUCAUAGUGAUCCGGUGGUUCUGAAUGGAAGGGCCAUCGCUCAACGGAUAAAAGGUACUCCGGGGAUAACAGGCUGAUACCGCCCAAGAGUUCAUAUCGACGGCGGUGUUUGGCACCUCGAUGUCGGCUCAUCACAUCCUGGGGCUGAAGUAGGUCCCAAGGGUAUGGCUGUUCGCCAUUUAAAGUGGUACGCGAGCUGGGUUUAGAACGUCGUGAGACAGUUCGGUCCCUAUCUGCCGUGGGCGCUGGAGAACUGAGGGGGGCUGCUCCUAGUACGAGAGGACCGGAGUGGACGCAUCACUGGUGUUCGGGUUGUCAUGCCAAUGGCACUGCCCGGUAGCUAAAUGCGGAAGAGAUAAGUGCUGAAAGCAUCUAAGCACGAAACUUGCCCCGAGAUGAGUUCUCCCUGACUCCUUGAGAGUCCUGAAGGAACGUUGAAGACGACGACGUUGAUAGGCCGGGUGUGUAAGCGCAGCGAUGCGUUGAGCUAACCGGUACUAAUGAACCGUGAGGCUUAACCUU
RNAcentral lists this ribosomal RNA (2905 nucleotides) under Escherichia coli. Its description in RNAcentral is "23S ribosomal RNA". It matches the Rfam family "Bacterial large subunit ribosomal RNA". Lineage: Bacteria; Pseudomonadati; Pseudomonadota; Gammaproteobacteria; Enterobacterales; Enterobacteriaceae. The record is from RNAcentral.